GAUGAACGCUGGCGGCGUGCCUAAUACAUGCAAGUCGAGCGAACAGACGAGGAGCUUGCUCCUCUGACGUUUAGCGGCGGACGGGUGAGUAACACGUGGAUAACCUACCUAUAAGACUGGGAUAACUUCGGGAAACCGGAGCUAAUACCGGAUAACAUGUUGAACCGCAUGGUUCAACAGUGAAAGACGGUCUUGCUGUCACUUAUAGAUGGAUCCGCGCCGCAUUAGCUAGUUGGUAAGGUAACGGCUUACCAAGGCAACGAUGCGUAGCCGACCUGAGAGGGUGAUCGGCCACACUGGAACUGAGACACGGUCCAGACUCCUACGGGAGGCAGCAGUAGGGAAUCUUCCGCAAUGGGCGAAAGCCUGACGGAGCAACGCCGCGUGAGUGAUGAAGGUCUUCGGAUCGUAAAACUCUGUUAUUAGGGAAGAACAAAUGUGUAAGUAACUAUGCACGUCUUGACGGUACCUAAUCAGAAAGCCACGGCUAACUACGUG
RNAcentral lists this ribosomal RNA (498 nucleotides) under uncultured bacterium. RNAcentral describes it as "partial 16S ribosomal RNA". It matches the Rfam family "Bacterial small subunit ribosomal RNA", at positions 28 to 507 of the family's 1533-position model. The record is from RNAcentral.